Molecule: long non-coding RNA, 530 nt
Organism: Acinonyx jubatus (cheetah)
Lineage: Eukaryota; Metazoa; Chordata; Mammalia; Carnivora; Felidae
Exons: 2
Source: RefSeq, a predicted model, not a curated record
GCGUGUCCGCCUCCGCAUAACAUCUACCAUCCCCAACGUGGUCUGCCCAGGCCUCAGAGAGAGGGCAGUGCCUCUUCCAGCAGCUGGAAAGGAACUCAGAGAAUGGCCUCUCCAAGGACACCUGGCAUCUGACACCUUCCCCAAGGAGAGGCCCAACUCAAUAUAUACUGAGUAUUAUCUUACCAGAUCUGAAGAAGGAUCACCUCUGAGAUGUUCACAAUUUGAAUAUUCUUCUAAAUACAGUUACAUCUGCCUUAACAGGAAUCGGUAUGCACAAAUUACCAUUUUUAAAAGGAUUAUAUAAUAGGUAGUAUUCUAGAAGAUCUACUAUGAAAUCCCUUUUAAACAAGAAGUACAUGAAAAGUAACAGUGAAAUCCAUUCUAAUUUGAAGAAGAUCUGAUUCUAAUAUAAAUUCAUGAACCCAGUCAUUACUUAAGGAAGAUCAUCUUUUCUAGGAAAUUUUCCCAGAGAUGGAAAGAUCAGAAUAAUCCUUCGUCCCAAGUCCACUGGAAAAAAAAAAAAAGAAGAA